This 238-nucleotide unclassified non-coding RNA is filed under the name Hevea brasiliensis (rubber tree). Lineage: Eukaryota; Viridiplantae; Streptophyta; Magnoliopsida; Malpighiales; Euphorbiaceae. The record is from RNAcentral.
GAACCCCAUGAACCUUAGCACCAUCUUGGCCUUAGACUCCAGGACCUAAUGAACCGGAUUCUCCUAAAAAUUUUCUGUUCCUCUUUCUCUAUUAAUGAUCCUCAUGUUUGUUUGUUGUAGUUGAUUUGCUGAGGAAAUUCAUGCGUUGAAAUGUCUUAGAACCGAAUUGUCGAAUAAGAUGUAAUAUUUAUUUUCUUUAAUUAAUUGUUCAACCGUGGUUGUAUUAAUUUUAUCUUCU